GACGAACGCUGGCGGCGUGCUUAACACAUGCAAGUCGAACGGAAAGGCCUCAGCUUGCUGGGGUACUCGAGUGGCGAACGGGUGAGUAACACGUGGGUGAUCUGCCUUGCACUCUGGGAUAAGCUUGGGAAACUGGGUCUAAUACCGGAUAUGAACUGCCUUUAGUGUGGUGGUUGGAAAGUUUUUUCGGUGCAAGAUGAGCUCGCGGCCUAUCAGCUUGUUGGUGGGGUAAUGGCCUACCAAGGCGUCGACGGGUAGCCGACCUGAGAGGGUGUACGGCCACAUUGGGACUGAGAUACGGCCCCGGCUCCUACGGGAGGCAGCAGGGGGGAAUAUUGCACAAUGGGCGGAAGCCUGAUGCAGCGACGCCGCGUGGGGGAUGACGGCCUUCGGGUUGUAAACUCCUUUCGACAGGGACGAAGCUUUUUGUGACGGUACCUGUAUAAGAAGCACCGGCUAACUACGUG
This 467-nucleotide ribosomal RNA is filed under the name uncultured bacterium. RNAcentral's name for it is "partial 16S ribosomal RNA". It matches the Rfam family "Bacterial small subunit ribosomal RNA", at positions 28 to 507 of the family's 1533-position model. The record is from RNAcentral.